This 301-nucleotide ribosomal RNA is filed under the name uncultured bacterium. RNAcentral describes it as "partial 16S ribosomal RNA". It matches the Rfam family "Bacterial small subunit ribosomal RNA", at positions 509 to 807 of the family's 1533-position model. The record is from RNAcentral.
CAGCCGCCACGGUAAUACAGAGGGUGCGAGCGUUAAUCGGAUUUACUGGGCGUAAAGCGUGCGUAGGCGGCUUUUUAAGUCGGAUGUGAAAUCCCUGAGCUUAACUUAGGAAUUGCAUUCGAUACUGGGAGGCUAGAGUAUGGGAGAGGAUGGUAGAAUUCCAGGUGUAGCGGUGAAAUGCGUAGAGAUCUGGAGGAAUACCGAUGGCGAAGGCAGCCAUCUGGCCUAAUACUGACGCUGAGGUACGAAAGCAUGGGGAGCAAACAGGAUUAGAUACCCCGGUAGUCCCUGUCUCUUAUAC